Long non-coding RNA from Vigna unguiculata (cowpea), 1876 nucleotides. RefSeq lists it as uncharacterized. The record is from RefSeq and is a predicted model, not a curated record. NCBI's taxonomy places the organism in Eukaryota, Viridiplantae, Streptophyta, Magnoliopsida, Fabales, Fabaceae.
ACUAAGUUAAGCGCCAAAACUAAAAUCCCAAAGCAUUUUUGAUUUCCCUCCUUCGAACCUACGCGAAAAAAAACCUAAGUCGUCUGCUCCCUCGCCUUCACUGGGUCGCCUCCUCUUCACAGCGGUCGCCUCGCAAGCCUCGCCUUCACCGUCUCAUCGUGAUCUGAAAAUGCAUGCUGAUUGAAAAUGCUGACUAAAAAUGCAUUGAGCUCAGCGUCGCGUGUCGCCCUCUCAUUGUUGUUAGGUCCCUUCUUCGAGGCAUUUCCACUGUGGUCUCCUCUCGCCGACAUUAGCGUCGUCUCGUCGUGGUUGGGCUUAAGCAACUUGGUAUCUCAAGUGCACUAGAGACUCUAUGUGGGCAAGCAUCUGGUGCUGGACAAGUGGAAAUGCUAGGGAAAAUUAUUGUAUUCAAGAUGGUAUUUAAUUUGGCUUUGCAGUCUUUACUAUUUAUAGCUUAAUCUGCAUACGUUUUUCUGUUAGUAACUCAGGUUCAGCUCUGCCAAGUAUGUUACAUAUUUGAUGCCUUUUAUUUGAAGUUAUAGGUUUAUAAUUGUUCUGUUUUAUGACUUUGGUUGCUAGCCCUUUUCUGAAUGUGUGUUGUUGUUGGUAGUUAUAAUAAGGAUUUAUCAGUCUUCUGUUAAUAAUUAAUUGCCUAUUAAGUAUGAAACUUAUGUUGAUUAGAUCUACUAUUUAUCAUCUAUGACAUGUUUGAUCGUUAUUAUUGUCCAUGAUAAAAGCAAGUUAGUGUAACGUCUAAAAAUAUCGGUCAGAUGUAGUUUUGUAGGGACUAGCCCAAAAAGGUGUUUUUUAAUAGACAAGGAGCAUUAUGCUUCAUUCCUUGCAGAUUGAAGAAUUAAUGGCAUAGAAGAGCAAUGAGAGAGAUAAACUAAGUGCAAAUUUGGUAGAAAAAAAAGACUCGAUGUUUAUUGGCUUUAAAAGAAACGUGAAAUUCGAAACUUUAAUUCUUGUUAAAAAUAGUUAAAAAAUAAUAUACAAGGAGUAUUUUUUACAUGAAAUGGAUAUACUGUUUAACAUACAUUCUUUUUAACUAAUUGAUAGUUGUCUUUACCCUUUUGGAAAGUAAUGUAGUAUAAUUUACUUUUAAUUCAAUUAUCAAUAGGCCUACAAAAGCUACAAAAUUAUGCUUAGUUGUUGAUUUAUGAUAAAGAAAUUGAUAUUGAUGCACUGCUUGAGAAAGACUUGUUGACACUAGAUGACACCAUGAAGACUGCUAAUGAUGCAGUUUUGCUGCUGUUAAGGUUGUCUCUGUUCUAAAGUCUGUAAGUCUAGUUUUAUAGUAUACUUUCUGCUAUUUGUUUGUAUAAAACUAUUUUGUGGUUACAGAUUGAAACUUUUGCAGGAGAUGCACAGAAAAAUUAUAGACAUAUUGAAUGGUGGGAUGAAAGAGGCCAGCCCUUCAGAAAUUAAUAAAGACCCCAUUUGAUAGCGUUGUUAAGCAUUGAGUGUCAAACUUGAAGUUUUUUUGGGGUGUGUAUCAUGUCAGCUUUGUGUCAUUUGGGCAAGCAGUGGGAUAUUGCAUGUUUUGUAAUACUGAUAAUGUUGUGAAAGCACAAUCAUUAAAUGGAGGUACGUCUCCUUGGAGUGCAGCGACUGAUGCUAGCUUGUAAGCAGUUAUGGAAUUUGCAUCUUCGCUUUUGAAAGGAAAGAAUGUUAAUAAAUCAAAGACAAAUGGAGUACUAUCUGUUCGUGCGACGUCUAUGUUUGGAUGUUGAAGAUCAAGAGGAUGAAGAAUGAUAAAAAAUCCAAAUGGUAUAUGAAGAUGAAGAGGAAUGAAAGUGUAAGAUAAAUUGUACUUUUUCUUUUUUUGAGAACAUAAUACUUUUUAAUUAGUUGUAAACAUUUUUAUUUAUGGAAU